CGCAUCUGUGCAUGCAGCAUAUCAAUAAGCGGAGGAAAAGAAACUAACAAGGAUUCCCCUAGUAACGGCGAGUGAAGCGGGAAGAGCUCAAAUUUGAAAUCUUAAAGGGUUUCCCUUUACGAAUUGUAGUUUAAAGAAGUGUUUUCUGUUGAGGUUUUGGUAAAAGUUCUUUGGAAUAGGACAUCAUAGAGGGUGAGAAUCCCGUAUUUGACCUUUACUUUCAACUUUGUGAUACACUUUCAAAGAGUCGGAUUGUUUGGGAAUGCAGUCCAAAAUGGGUGGUAAAUUUCAUCUAAAGCUAAAUAUUGGCGAGAGACCGAUAGCGAACAAGUACCGUGAGGGAAUGAUGAAAAGAACUUUGAAAAGAGAGUUAAACAGUACGUGAAAUUGUCAAAAGGGAAGCGUUUGACACCAGUGUUGUUUUUCUGAAAAUCAGUUAAAGAACUGUUUAUGCUAAGUUGUUUAGACUUUAUCAGCUAACUGUUUAGUUUUGAGCCUUUCUUUAAUGCACUUUUCAGUCAACAAGUCAACAUCAAUUUCUUUUGCUGUAAAAAAGCUUGAGGAAGGUGGCUUGAGAUUCGUCUUAAGUGUUUAUAGCCUCUUGCCUAUGCAGUCGGAGAGAUUGAGGUCUGCAGCGUAGAUCCUUCGGGGCUAAAUGCAUUUGUGCUAAGUUAUAGCAUUUUAUAGACAACUUGUUGACUAUGAUUUGUCUUGUAGCUUACUCGCUUAUGUUAUUUUACCUACGCUUAGGAUGUUGAACGCGCACAGAGUCUC
Molecule: ribosomal RNA, 774 nt
Filed under: uncultured Neocallimastigales
Lineage: Eukaryota; Fungi; Neocallimastigomycota; Neocallimastigomycetes; Neocallimastigales
Description: partial large subunit ribosomal RNA
Rfam family: Eukaryotic large subunit ribosomal RNA
Source: RNAcentral